GCUUAACGCGAAGAACCUUACCAGCCCUUGACAUGGCAGGACGAUUUCCGGAGACGGAUCUCUUCACUUCGGUGACCUGCACACAGGUGCUGCAUGGCUGUCGUCAGCUCGUGUCGUGAGAUGUUGGGUUAAGUCCCGCAACGAGCGCAACCCUCGCCUCUAGUUGCCAUCAUUAAGUUGGGCACUCUAGAGGGACUGCCGGUGAUAAGCCGGAGGAAGGUGGGGAUGACGUCAAGUCCUCAUGGCCCUUACGGGCUGGGCUACACACGUGCUACAAUGGUGGUGACAGAGGGCAGCUACUCCGCGAGGGAAGCUAAUCUCACAAACCGAUCGUAGUCCGGAUCGCAGUCUGCAACUCGACUGCGUGAAGUCGGAAUCGCUAGUAAUCGUGAAUCAGAAUGUCACGGUGAAUACGUUCCGGGUCUUGUAC
RNAcentral lists this ribosomal RNA (430 nucleotides) under uncultured bacterium. Its description in RNAcentral is "bacterial SSU rRNA". It matches the Rfam family "Bacterial small subunit ribosomal RNA", at positions 954 to 1386 of the family's 1533-position model. The record is from RNAcentral.